RNAcentral lists this ribosomal RNA (1707 nucleotides) under Salmonella enterica subsp. enterica serovar Typhimurium. Its description in RNAcentral is "partial 23S ribosomal RNA". It matches the Rfam family "Bacterial large subunit ribosomal RNA", at positions 163 to 1808 of the family's 2925-position model. Lineage: Bacteria; Pseudomonadati; Pseudomonadota; Gammaproteobacteria; Enterobacterales; Enterobacteriaceae. The record is from RNAcentral.
UCCAUAGGUUAAUGAGGCGAACCGGGGGAACUGAAACAUCUAAGUACCCCGAGGAAAAGAAAUCAACCGAGAUUCCCCCAGUAGCGGCGAGCGAACGGGGAGGAGCCCAGAGCCUGAAUCAGCAUGUGUGUUAGUGGAAGCGUCUGGAAAGGCGCGCGAUACAGGGUGACAGCCCCGUACACAAAAGCGCAUGUGCUGUGAGCUCGAUGAGUAGGGCGGGACACGUGGUAUCCUGUCUGAAUAUGGGGGGACCAUCCUCCAAGGCUAAAUACUCCUGACUGACCGAUAGUGAACCAGUACCGUGAGGGAAAGGCGAAAAGAACCCCGGCGAGGGGAGUGAAAAAGAACCUGAAACCGUGUACGUACAAGCAGUGGGAGCACCCUUCGGGGUGUGACUGCGUACCUUUUGUAUAAUGGGUCAGCGACUUAUAUUCUGUAGCAAGGUUAACCGAAUAGGGGAGCCGGAGGGAAACCGAGUCUUAAUUGGGCGUUAAGUUGCAGGGUAUAGACCCGAAACCCGGUGAUCUAGCCAUGGGCAGGUUGAAGGUUGGGUAACACUAACUGGAGGACCGAACCGACUAAUGUUGAAAAAUUAGCGGAUGACCUGUGGCUGGGGGUGAAAGGCCAAUCAAACCGGGAGAUAGCUGGUUCUCCCCGAAAGCUAUUUAGGUAGCGCCUCGUGAAUUCAUCUCCGGGGGUAGAGCACUGUUUCGGCUAGGGGGCCAUCCCGGCUUACCAACCCGAUGCAAACUGCGAAUACCGGAGAAUGUUAUCACGGGAGACACACGGCGGGUGCUAACGUCCGUCGUGAAGAGGGAAACAACCCAGACCGCCAGCUAAGGUCCCAAAGUCAUGGUUAAGUGGGAAACGAUGUGGGAAGGCCCAGACAGCCAGGAUGUUGGCUUAGAAGCAGCCAUCAUUUAAAGAAAGCGUAAUAGCUCACUGGUCGAGUCGGCCUGCGCGGAAGAUGUAACGGGGCUAAACCAUGCACCGAAGCUGCGGCAGCGAACGUAUCACCCAAGACAACUUUACGGAGUUGACGAUUGACGGAGCGAAGCGACGUCAAAGCGUUCAUUAAAGUCGAGUUGGCUUAGGGAUACGUUCGUUGGGUAGGGGAGCGUUCUGUAAGCCUGUGAAGGUGUGUCGUGAGGCAUGCUGGAGGUAUCAGAAGUGCGAAUGCUGACAUAAGUAACGAUAAAGCGGGUGAAAAGCCCGCUCGCCGGAAGACCAAGGGUUCCUGUCCAACGUUAAUCGGGGCAGGGUGAGUCGACCCCUAAGGCGAGGCCGAAAGGCGUAGUCGAUGGGAAACGGGUUAAUAUUCCCGUACUUGGUGUUACUGCGAAGGGGGGACGGAGAAGGCUAUGUUGGCCGGGCGACGGUUGUCCCGGUUUAAGCGUGUAGGUGUGUGUUCCAGGUAAAUCCGGUUCACUUUAACACUGAGGCGUGACGACGAGGCACUACGGUGCUGAAGCAACAAAUGCCCUGCUUCCAGGAAAAGCCUCUAAGCAUCAGGUAACAUCAAAUCGUACCCCAAACCGACACAGGUGGUCAGGUAGAGAAUACCAAGGCGCUUGAGAGAACUCGGGUGAAGGAACUAGGCAAAAUGGUGCCGUAACUUCGGGAGAAGGCACGCUGACACGUAGGUGAAGUGAUUUACUCAUGGAGCUGAAGUCAGUCGAAGAUACCAGCUGGCUGCAACUGUUUAUU